Molecule: ribosomal RNA, 341 nt
Filed under: Conticribra weissflogii
Lineage: Eukaryota; Bacillariophyta; Thalassiosirophyceae; Thalassiosirales; Thalassiosiraceae
Description: SSU rRNA
Rfam family: Eukaryotic small subunit ribosomal RNA
Source: RNAcentral
AGUUAAAAAGCUCGUAGUUGGAUUUCUGGCAGGAGCGACCGGUCUCACACCCUGUGUGAGAACUCGUGUUGUCUCUGGCCAUCCUUGGGGAGAUCCUGUUUGGCAUUCAGUUGUCGGGCAGGGGAUACCCAUCGUUUACUGUGAAAAAAUUGGAGUGUUUAAAGCAGGCUUAUGCCGUUGAACAUAUUAGCAUGGAAUAAUAAGAUAGGUCUUUGGUACUAUUUUGUUGGUUUGCGCACCAGAGAAAUGACUAAUAGGGACAGUUGGGGCUAUUCGUAUUCCAUUGUCAGAGGUGAAAUUCUUGGAUUUCUGGAAGACGAACUACUGCGAAAGCAUUUACC